AGCAGCUGAAAUAAAAUGCCUUGUCCUGCAGUCCCUGCUCCCUCAGCUGUUUGUGUAGCACUGAGGGGCCACCAGCACCCCCUGCAUGUGCUGUGGCAUCCCAGGCACAGCCUGAGCACUGACUACCUUCCCCUCUGCCAUUUACAAGCCUUUGUUUUAGAUUUUCUGGGCUCCAGCUGGAUCUGAGAGCUCUGAGCAGCUGUGAAGCUGUAUCUGACUAGAAUACCGUGACUGCUUUGCCAAUGCUAAUGAGAGAGAACAUAAAUGUUUAGGAGAUUUGUAGCUGUAGGAGUAAGGUGGCACACAAAUUUGAAGCUGAGAAUGGUUCUUGUAGGACCAGAACUUUACUUUUGGCUCAGGAAGAGGCCACAAGAUGCAUUGUUUGUUACUGAAGUUGUAGUCCUGGUGUCCUGCGUGACUUUCUCCAGAAGAGAGGUGCUUCUCAAAACUCUCUGGCUCUUUUCAGUCAAACUCUGAUCUUCCAGCUAUGCGCUUGUGGCUGCUGCUUCUCGUGUGGCUGUGCACCUCUUGGAGAAGUCUGGCUCCAUCCUCUCUGUACCUCCCCUUUCGAUGCACCUGCUGGAAUGGCAGCAAAGAAGAAAGAGCGAAAGCAAGGAGGGAAAAAUGCUUUGUGUUGCUUAAAUCUGCAACACUCAUAUCCAGGCUGAAUAAAUCCUUCGACGGCAUUCUUUGCUCGUGGCUGUUUGAUGUGCUUCCAGCAGCUUCAAACACAGGAGGCAUCCAAACUGCAAAGAGCCAAAAUGGCAGAAACGCCACUGUGGCAGGAGCCUCGAACAGCAGCGGGGCAGGCUGGCAGCACCUUUCAGGACUGAAGAUGCUCACCCAGCAGGCAAGGGGGUUUCUGAAUCCCUCUGCUCCUCCGUGACGUGGCAGUGCUUGGAGUGCCUUUCUUAGCUUGGACUUUAUUAAGCUGCUCCAAACCAACAAGCCAAGCUCCCCACCAGCAUUUGACCACUGUGCCAAGAGGAAAAUAAUGAGGCCAAAAGCACUGCACAGCAGAAACAUGUGGGACUACAAAGAAGUUGGGAUUGCCAGAGAGUCCGUCACGGUCAUGUCAGGGAGUUAGGGAUGAUGCUACUGCAGUGUUUGUUGAGGCUGGUGGAGGAGAUAUGUGGCUGGUGGCUGUGAGCACCUUCCUUGGACAAACAGCGAUACCUCUGAUCAGCUUUGGCCACUUCUGAGUGCCACAGGAGGUUGGGGAGCCCAGCUCAGCUGGCUAGAGGGCAGCCACAUGCCUCCAGGGUUGAUGCCGUCACUUCUUUCCGAGCCCUCAGCUGGCUGCAGCACAUUGAUGUCCCCAGAAACCAAGGAUGCCCCCAGCAAGUCUCCUUUUGGCCACUUUCUCCUUCUGCUUGCCGAGCCUGCUUUCCUUCAGCCCUUGUCUUUCUCCUUUGCUUGGUCCUCUGACUUCAGAACGUGGCUUUCCUUUUUAGUUCCCUUCUGUGUUUAUUCUGGGCCAAACUGCCCGCAUACUGGAUGAGGAUGCUUCUGAGUGGAGUGACUUAGGAGUUUUGAAUAAAACAGCUCUUGUUGAAAAUGCUGGUUUAUCAAAAACAACUUUUUAUUUCCCAUAAGAAUGUGGGCUUUUUUUUUUCCGGAUAAAAGUGUCUAUAGGAAGCAUUUCUUGAAACCCAGAAGACUAAAAGCAGACCCUUGCCAAGGACUAGAGAAUUUGAGGAUGAGUGAAGAGAGUCAUUGUUUCUUGCUGUUCGUCCCAGACUCUUUCUUCAUUUCUUAUGCCUGCAUAAUGGGAAGUACAUGAGGUUUGCUACUGCCCCUGCUGAACUGUGGUGUGGAUAGACUUUGUCUUCCUCAGCUAGCAUUCUGUCACCUUUCAAGAGGGAAAAAUUCAUUUAAAAACAAAAAUCCCAAGUAAGAAACCUCAAAUAAUUGUAGGAAACCACCACAGAGGUAUACAAUAUCCAGCUGAAGACCUUGUUGAAAACCGAACAGAUUAUGCUUCUUAUAUGUGGUUAAACUGUGCCAUUAAUGUUAAAACUGUUCAAAGCACAAAAUAAAUUCUGAUUUUUUUCUGUCAAAGUUUGUGGUUCGAUGUUCACACAUUCUAGGCUCCAGUUAAAUGAUUUACUGUACAAUUUAAUGUCUUUCAGCUGUCACUUGCAUAAAAGAGAUCCCUUGAAUGAUCUGCCAGCAAAUGAAGGCAACACUUGUCCAGGGUGGAGGUUAGCCAGGCCUGGAAAACCCAACUUGCCAAGAUAUGCAGAAGCAAUCACGUCAGCCACCAUGACCCAUACGUGGAACCCAGAAAACAUACGUGGUGGUACACAGCCACACGGCUGUGAUCAGAUCUGCAAAAACACUUCAUUUAAAAUACACUGAGCCUUUCACUCUCUCUUUGCAGUGGUUCAUACUGUAGGCAUGCUGCUAUUCUUUGUCCUUCUUUUGAACUUUUCCCUGUUCCUGAGCUUCAAAUGGUGUGAUUUUUUGAAGUUUUUCUCAAAAUUCCUUCACAAAAGCUUUUUAAAAUCCCGAUUCUCACAUACCAGCAUAUGGAGGAGAAACAGUUACCAUGGGACUGUGAAAAACAUACCUCAGGAGCUCAGGAGCAAGGGAGGAAAUAAAAAAGCCAUGGGUCUUCAGAAAUUACACGUUCUGUUGUUUGGCACUUUAGGUUCUUGGCUUUGCCACUAGCUGGGGUGCUGCCGUGCCUCUUGUGCACAGGGCGUGGGGGCAGGAGCAACACCCGGCAGUGACCCCAGCCACCGACCUGCUCCAUCCACCUCUGGGACGUGGCAGCAGCUCUGCAACGCGGGGCAGCACUGCCCUGACGUGCUCUGCAGGACAGAGGGAGGAGAAUGAGGAAGUCAUGUGAAACCGAAGAGUACACCUGGAUUGGGAUUUGGCCCUAGUUCUGGGAUUAUUAACCAUUUAGUACAUUUAUGGCCAGCACGAGCUAUUAGACGAAA
Long non-coding RNA from Cygnus olor (mute swan), 2948 nucleotides. RefSeq lists it as uncharacterized. Lineage: Eukaryota; Metazoa; Chordata; Aves; Anseriformes; Anatidae. The record is from RefSeq and is a predicted model, not a curated record. The transcript is spliced from 4 exons.